GCUCUGUGUGAGCUGCAGCGAGUCUCUGUGCUGCAGAACUCUGUGCAGCUCAGUGAUUCCCCUGCAGCAACUUCUAAAAACGCCGCUGGUACCUGCUGGAAAGGAUGGCACACGCUGCAGCCACCAAAGGUAAUAUUCUAGGGGCAAUUGGAGCAGCGGUGAAGCUGCAGCUGGAACCGACCAUCACAGACUGUUCAGACAGCCCCGCCGCCUGUAGGAGCCAGGAGCUGAGCCCCGUGGGACACAUGGAUUAAUAGCUCAUGUUGCAAACGAACAAUCUGUCCAUCUGCAUAUCGACAUUCUCCGGCGCUGUAGCAGGAAUGUGGCUGCUGCCAGGGGAGGCUGCUGUGAAUUGCUGAGGAUCUGCUGCACCAAAUUGUGCAAUUUUGCUGUUGUUUUAGUGAAUAAAUUCCAGGGAAUGCAAUCUGUAAUUAGCUGCAAUUUGGCACGCGGGAGCAGCGAGGAGACACUGACUGGAUGUGAAGGACUCAUCUGCAGAACUUCCAGAAGCUCGGCACGCACCGGGGGAGUCGCUGGCAGUGGUUCAGGGUGUUAUUUGCCAGAAAGGUUCCUUGGGAAGGUAGAAAUGAAUUGGAAAUGGGGGGAUUCACAGGUAGGCAGUGUGGGAAUGGCCUUGGGUUUGAAUAGAUUAAAAAAUUUCCAAGCAUAUGUUGAACUGAUGUCCACAUGAGCAAGUCUCUAAUUUGAUCACCACAUAUCUAAUAAACCCGGCAGCUCCUCCCUUCA
Molecule: non-coding RNA, 747 nt
Organism: Lonchura striata (white-rumped munia)
Lineage: Eukaryota; Metazoa; Chordata; Aves; Passeriformes; Estrildidae
Source: RefSeq, a predicted model, not a curated record